UCCGGUUUGGCACCGGCAGUCUCCCUAGAGUUCCCGGCAUGACCCGCUGGCAACUAAGGACAGGGGUUACGCUCGUUGCGCCACUUAAGGCAACACCUCACGGCACGAGCUGACGACAGCCAUGCAGCACCUGUGCGGGCUCCCGAAGGAGCGCCGUGUUUCCACGGUUUCACCCCGCAUGUCAAGCCCUGGUAAGGUUCUUCGCGUUGCGUCGAAUUAAGCCACAUGCUCCGCCGCUUGUGCGGGCCCCUGUCAAUUCCUUUGAGUUUUAGCCUUGCGGCCGUACUCCCCAGGUGGUUCACUUAACGCUUUCGCUUGGACGCGUACUGUAUAUCGCACACAUCGAGUGAACAUCGUUUACGGCGUGGACUAC
RNAcentral lists this unclassified non-coding RNA (373 nucleotides) under uncultured Actinomycetes bacterium. RNAcentral's name for it is "uncultured actinobacterium contains 16S-23S intergenic spacer region". The record is from RNAcentral. Lineage: Bacteria; Bacillati; Actinomycetota; Actinomycetes.